Molecule: transfer RNA, 73 nt
Filed under: Deltaproteobacteria bacterium
Lineage: Bacteria; Pseudomonadati; Myxococcota; Myxococcia
Description: tRNA-Ala
Rfam family: tRNA
About the family: Transfer RNA (tRNA) molecules are approximately 80 nucleotides in length. Their secondary structure includes four short double-helical elements and three loops (D, anti-codon, and T loops).
Source: RNAcentral
GGGGACGUAGCUCAGUUGGGAGAGCGCGGCGUUCGCAAUGCCGAGGUCGGGAGUUCGAUCCUCCUCGUCUCCA